GGAUUCCCCUAGUAACUGCGAGUGAAGCGGGAAAAGCUCAAAUUUAAAAUCUGGCGGUCUUUGGCCGUCCGAGUUGUAGUCUGGAGAAGUGCUUUCCGCGCUGGACCGUGUACAAGUCUCUUGGAACAGAGCGUCAUAGAGGGUGAGAAUCCCGUCUUUGACACGGACUACCAGUGCUUUGUGAUGCGCUCUCAAAGAGUCGAGUUGUUUGGGAAUGCAGCUCUAAAUGGGUGGUAAAUUCCAUCUAAAGCUAAAUAUUGGCGAGAGACCGAUAGCGAACAAGUACCGUGAGGGAAAGAUGAAAAGCACUUUGGAAAGAGAGUUAAACAGUACGUGAAAUUGCUGAAAGGGAAACGCUUGAAGUCAGUCGCGUCGGCCGGAACUCAGCCUUGCUUUUGCUUGGUGCACUUUCCGGUUGACGGGCCAGCAUCGAUUUUGACCGUUGGAAAAGGGCCAGGGAAAUGUGGCACCUUCGGGUGUGUUAUAGUCUCUGGUCGCAUACAGCGGUUGGGAUCGAGGAACGCACCGCGCCGCAAGGCAGGGGUUCGCCCACUAUCGCGCUUAGGAUGCUGGCAUAAUGGCUUUAAACGACCCGUCUUGAAACACGGACCAAGGAGUCUAACAUGCCUGCGAGUGUUUGGGUGGAAAACCCGAGCGCGUAAUGAAAGUGAAAG
Molecule: ribosomal RNA, 674 nt
Filed under: Cerrena hydnoides
Lineage: Eukaryota; Fungi; Basidiomycota; Agaricomycetes; Polyporales; Cerrenaceae
Description: partial 28S ribosomal RNA
Rfam family: Eukaryotic large subunit ribosomal RNA
Source: RNAcentral